Molecule: ribosomal RNA, 500 nt
Filed under: uncultured bacterium
Lineage: Bacteria
Description: bacterial SSU rRNA
Rfam family: Bacterial small subunit ribosomal RNA
Source: RNAcentral
AGAGUUUGAUCCUGGCUCAGGAUGAACGCUGGCGGCGUGCCUAACACAUAGCAAGUCGAGCGAGAAACGUUUCGAAUGAAACUUCGGUAGAUUUAAAAGUGGAAAGCGGCGGACGGGUGAGUAACGCGUAGGCAACCUGCCCUUAGCAGGGGGAUAGCCAUUGGAAACGAUGAUUAAACCCCAUAAUGCGGAAGAUUCACAUGGAUAAUCCGCCAAAGAUUUAUCGGCUAAGGAUGGGCCUGCGUCUGAUUAGAUAGUUGGUGAGGUAACGGCCCACCAAGUCAACGAUCAGUAGCCGACCUGAGAGGGUGAUCGGCCACAUUGGAACUGAGACACGGUCCAAACUCCUACGGGAGGCAGCAGUGGGGAAUAUUGCACAAUGGGCGAAAGCCUGAUGCAGCAACGCCGCGUGAAGGAUGAAGGUCUUCGGAUCGUAAACUUCUGUCCUUGGGAAGAACAGAUGACGGUACCCAUGGAGGAAGCCCGGCUAACUACGUGCC